UACGUAGGGGGCUAGCGUUGUCCGGAAUCAUUGGGCGUAAAGCGCGUGUAGGCGGUCCGGUAAGUCCGCUGUGAAAGUCGGGGGCUCAACCCUCGGAUGCCGGUGGAUACUGUCGGGCUUGAGUCCGGAAGGGGCGAGUGGAAUUCCUGGUGUAGCGGUGAAAUGCGCAGAUAUCAGGAGGAACACCAAUGGCGAAGGCAGCUCGCUGGAACGGUACUGACGCUGAGGCGCGAAAGCGUGGGGAGCGAACAGG
This 253-nucleotide ribosomal RNA is filed under the name uncultured bacterium. RNAcentral describes it as "partial 16S ribosomal RNA". It matches the Rfam family "Bacterial small subunit ribosomal RNA", at positions 524 to 776 of the family's 1533-position model. The record is from RNAcentral.